Molecule: long non-coding RNA, 1042 nt
Organism: Calidris pugnax (ruff)
Lineage: Eukaryota; Metazoa; Chordata; Aves; Charadriiformes; Scolopacidae
Exons: 2
Source: RefSeq, a predicted model, not a curated record
ACAAGGAGAGCUCCUCGGAGCUCCAGCACAGCUGUGCAGUGUGAGUUAAUACAUGCCCAAAUCAGCCAAAUAUCUGCCUUAACUUGACCUCUGCUCACAGAUGGAAACUAAUUAUUUCAUACUUAUGCUGAAUAAUUGAAUAGACAUCCAAGUAUUCAAGUAGUUCAGACACAGCUUGAUAAAAAAAGUAACUUUGAUCUAUUCAAACACAACCUGAAGUAGCGGCGUUCGAGAGAGAGUCACCUUUUUACAUCUUUGGAAUUCUUCCUACCUGGGUCUGACUUGGAGUAGGUCAAGCUCUAAUCUCAGUUUAGUAAUUCCAGUUCUAAAGGUAGUUAGUGUUUCCCUGUUUAAUGACUUCAUUCUGUUAUGGGUGCUUCUGGAAUUGCCUCUGUCGUGUCCCCGAGGUGAGCGACACACGGGGAGGCAGGUCUGCUCUGGAGAGGCUUCAGGAGGAAUUACUGGAGGGAAAUCUUGAUUCUGCUGGCUAUGGACGUGACCUUCCUCCCCUGCAAGCAGCGUGGACAAGGAAAAAGCAAAAGAGCCCGAUGCCGAUGGUUUCGGUCUUGGCAGGAGGAGGUGGGUUUGGGAGACGCCGUUGAGAGGAGGUGUGAGAUGGAGCUGUUGGAAAUGGAGCUGUUGGAAAUGGAGCUGUUGGAAAUGGAGCUGUUGGAAAUGGAGCUGUUGGAAUCGGGGCUGUUUCUCUCUCUGGUGGGGAGCGGGUCCCCUGGCUCUGACAGAGGUGCCUCUUCUCGCUGCCCGGGGCCGUGGCCGGCAGCCAGAUGGGCCAGCAAACCUCGGAUUGUUUUACUUCUGCUCAGGAAGUCUGAGAUUAAAGCCUUAUCACAUCUAUUUGGUAACUCAGGGGGAUAUUUACUAGCAUUUUCUUCAGCAUUUACCGUGCUGAGGGCUAAGAACCGAGCUGUCGUGUUCCACUCUGGAAAUAGCCGGCUGGGCAUUCGAAGAGUCAUUCUGAGACAAUUUAAAACUCUUUGCAGUGGUCAAUGUAUGAAGGUUUGAAUUAAAUCCUUAUUUCCUUGAA